This 396-nucleotide ribosomal RNA is filed under the name uncultured bacterium. Its description in RNAcentral is "bacterial SSU rRNA". It matches the Rfam family "Bacterial small subunit ribosomal RNA", at positions 358 to 771 of the family's 1533-position model. The record is from RNAcentral.
GGAAUAUUGGACAAUGGGCGAAAGCCUGAUCCAGCAAUGCCGCGUGAGUGAUGAAGGCCUUAGGGUUGUAAAGCUCUUUUACCAGGGAUGAUAAUGACAGUACCUGGAGAAUAAGCUCCGGCUAACUCCGUGCCAGCAGCCGCGGUAAUACGGAGGGAGCUAGCGUUGUUCGGAAUUACUGGGCGUAAAGCGCAUGCAGGCGGAUCGAUAAGUCGGGGGUGAAAGCCCGAGGCUCAACCUCGGAACUGCCUUCGAUACUGUCGAUCUUGAGUCCGGGAGAGGUGAGUGGAACUCCGAGUGUAGAGGUGAAAUUCGUAGAUAUUCGGAAGAACACCAGUGGCGAAGGCGGCUCACUGGCCCGGUACUGACGCUGAGAUGCGAAAGCGUGGGGAGCAA